AACGAACGCUGGCGGCAUGCCUAACACAUGCAAGUCGAACGAGACCUUCGGGUCUAGUGGCGCACGGGUGCGUAACGCGUGGGAACCUGCCCUUAGGUUCGGAAUAACUCCCCGAAAGGGGUGCUAAUACCGGAUAAUGUCUUCGGACCAAAGAUUUAUCGCCUUUGGAUGGGCCCGCGUUGGAUUAGCUAGUUGGUAGGGUAAAAGCCUACCAAGGCGACGAUCCAUAGCUGGUCUGAGAGGAUGAUCAGCCACACUGGGACUGAGACACGGCCCAGACUCCUACGGGAAGCAGCAGUGGGGAAUAUUCGACAAUGGGCGAAAGCCUGAUCCAGCAAUGCCGCGUGAGUGAUGAAGGCCUUAGGGUUGUAAAGCUCUUUUACCCGGGAUGAUAAUGACAGUACCGGGAGAAUAAGCUCCGGCUAACUCCGUG
Molecule: ribosomal RNA, 433 nt
Filed under: uncultured bacterium
Lineage: Bacteria
Description: partial 16S ribosomal RNA
Rfam family: Bacterial small subunit ribosomal RNA
Source: RNAcentral